GAUAAACGUUGGCGGUGUGCCUUAUGCAUGCAAGUCGUACGAGGUUAUGGUCUUCGGAUUGUAACCGAGUGGCGAACGGCUGAGUAACACGUAAGUAACCUGCCUGCAAGUGGGGAAUAACCUGUCGAAAGGCAGGCUAAUACCGCAAUGAUAAUCGAGUGUUGCUUGAUUAUUAAAGCCUUAGGGUGCUUGGAGAUGGGCUUGCGUCUGAUUAGCUAGUUGGUGAGGUAAUGGCUUACCAAGGCGAUGAUCAGUAGCUGGUCUGAGAGGAUGGUCAGCCAGAUGGGGAUUGAGAUACGGCCCCAACUCCUACGGGAGGCAGCAGCAAGGGAUAUUGGGCAAUGGGCGAAAGCCUGACCCAGCGACACCGCGUGAGGGAGGAAGGCCUUCGGGUUGUAAACCUCUUUUCUCGAGGAAGAAUUUUGACGGUACUCGAGGAAUAAGCCUCGGCUAACUACGUGCCAGCAGCCGCGGUAAGACGUAGGAGGCGAACGUUAUCCGGAUUUACUGGGCGUAAAGAGAGCGUAGGCGGCUUUUUAAGUCAAGUGUGAAAUCUUGUGACUCAAUCAGAAGAAGCCGCUUGAUACUGGAUGGCUUGAGGGAAGCAGAAGGAAAUGGAAUUCCCAGUGUAGCGGUGAAAUGCGUUGAUAUUGGGAAGAACACCAGUGGCGAAGCCGACAGCGAUUUCCUAGGCUUUUCCUGACGCUGAGGCUCGAAAGCGUGGGGAGCGAAGCGGAUUAGAUACCCGCGUAGUCCACGCCUUAAACGGUGGACAUUAGGUAUGGGGAGUAUCGACCCUCUCCGUGUCGAAGCUAACGCUUUAAAUGUCCCGCCUGGGGAGACGGCCGCAAGGCU
This 855-nucleotide ribosomal RNA is filed under the name uncultured Chloroflexota bacterium. RNAcentral describes it as "bacterial SSU rRNA". It matches the Rfam family "Bacterial small subunit ribosomal RNA", at positions 28 to 895 of the family's 1533-position model. The record is from RNAcentral. Lineage: Bacteria; Bacillati; Chloroflexota.